This 318-nucleotide ribosomal RNA is filed under the name uncultured bacterium. Its description in RNAcentral is "bacterial SSU rRNA". It matches the Rfam family "Bacterial small subunit ribosomal RNA", at positions 8 to 333 of the family's 1533-position model. The record is from RNAcentral.
AGAGUUUGAUCCUGGCUCAGGAUGAACGCUAGCUACAGGCUUAACACAUGCAAGUCGAGCGGAAUGGCUUCGGCCAUUUAGCGGCAGACGGGUGAGUAACACGUAUCCAACCUUUCCCUUACUCGGGUAUAGCCUCGGGAAACUGAGAGUAAUCCCCGAUGUUGUGUACGAAUAGCAUUUUUUGCACACUAAAGAUUAAUCGGUAAGGGGUGGGGAUGCGUUCCAUUAGGUAGUAGGCGGGGCAACGGCCCACCUAGCCGAUGAUGGAUAGGGGUUCUGAGAGGAAGGUCCCCCACAUUGGAACUGCGACACGGUCCA